GUAGGUGGCAAGCGUUGUCCGGAAUUAUUGGGCGUAAAGCGCGCGCAGGUGGUUCUUUAAGUCUGAUGUGAAAGCCCCCGGCUCAACCGGGGAGGGUCAUUGGAAACUGGGGAACUUGAGUGCAGGAGAGGAAAGUGGAAUUCCACGUGUAGCGGUGAAAUGCGUAGAUAUGUGGAGGAACACCAGUGGCGAAGGCGACUUUCUGGCCUGUAACUGACACUGAGGCGCGAAGGCGUGGGGAGCAAACAGGGAUUAGAUACCCUGGUAGUCCACGCCGUAAACGAUGAGUGCUAAGUGUUGGGGGGGUUUCCGCCCCCUCAGUGCUGCAGCUAACGCAUUAAGCACUCCGCCCUGGGAGUACGGUCGCAAGACUG
This 374-nucleotide ribosomal RNA is filed under the name uncultured organism. RNAcentral's name for it is "partial 16S ribosomal RNA". It matches the Rfam family "Bacterial small subunit ribosomal RNA", at positions 527 to 896 of the family's 1533-position model. The record is from RNAcentral.